This 251-nucleotide ribosomal RNA is filed under the name uncultured bacterium. Its description in RNAcentral is "partial 16S ribosomal RNA". It matches the Rfam family "Bacterial small subunit ribosomal RNA", at positions 60 to 339 of the family's 1533-position model. The record is from RNAcentral.
AGUCGAGCGAGGUAGCAAUACCUAGCGGCAGACGGGUGAGUAACAUGUGGGAAUCUGCCUUUUGGUUCGGAACAACACGGGGAAACCUGUGCUAAUACCGGAUAAGCCUUCACAGGGAAAGUUUUAAUGCCAAAAGAUGAGCCCGCACUUGAUUAGCUAGUUGGUAAGGUAAUAGCUUACCAAGGCAACGAUCAAUAGCUGUUCUUAGAGGAAGACCAGCCACAUUGGGACUGAGACACGGCCCAGACUCC